UUCAUCAUCUGCUUGCUAAAGAGUGUUG
This 28-nucleotide non-coding RNA is filed under the name Mus musculus (house mouse). Lineage: Eukaryota; Metazoa; Chordata; Mammalia; Rodentia; Muridae. The record is from RNAcentral.